RNAcentral lists this small nucleolar RNA (136 nucleotides) under Leptobrachium leishanense (Leishan spiny toad). RNAcentral's name for it is "Small nucleolar RNA SNORD94 (ENSLLEG00000005145.1)". It matches the Rfam family "Small nucleolar RNA SNORD94". From Rfam's summary of the family: The members of this family belong to the C/D class of snoRNAs which contain the C (UGAUGA) and D (CUGA) box motifs. Most of the members of the box C/D family function in directing site-specific 2'-O-methylation of substrate RNAs. Lineage: Eukaryota; Metazoa; Chordata; Amphibia; Anura; Megophryidae. The record is from Rfam by way of RNAcentral.
GCGGCAGUGAUGAUCGGCGCAGGGGUACCGACCUCGGCUGGAUUAUGGGAGCCGAGUGCGAGUGUCUCUGUGUAUCCUGCAUGUUGCGGGUGACCUCGGAGCACUCGCAUGAGAACGGAGCCGUGAUCUGAGCCGC